Non-coding RNA from Phrynosoma platyrhinos (Desert horned lizard), 74 nucleotides. The record is from the annotation of a GenBank genome assembly. Lineage: Eukaryota; Metazoa; Chordata; Lepidosauria; Squamata; Phrynosomatidae.
GAAUCAGUGUGCCAUAGUGGCUUGAGUGUUGGACUGCGACUACGGAGACCAGGGUUCAAAUCCCUGCUGGGUCA